UCCGUGGGAAAGUUCAAGAAGAUUUCAGA
RNAcentral lists this non-coding RNA (29 nucleotides) under Homo sapiens (human). Lineage: Eukaryota; Metazoa; Chordata; Mammalia; Primates; Hominidae. The record is from RNAcentral.